This 3819-nucleotide unclassified non-coding RNA is filed under the name Polistes dominula (European paper wasp). RNAcentral describes it as "metal transporter CNNM4, transcript variant X1". The record is from RNAcentral. Lineage: Eukaryota; Metazoa; Arthropoda; Insecta; Hymenoptera; Vespidae.
GUGAGAGUGGACGAGUGAAGUUGUCAGAAUCGAGUUAGUCGCACGAUGGCGCAGCUUCUUGCUGGAUCUUAUACACCGGUACUUUUUCUAUUAUCCAUUAUUGCGGUUAUUCGAUUAACGAGAGGUAAUACAUUGUUAGAUACAGUGAAUCCUUCGAAUAAACCUAACGUGACAGCAAUAAACGUGUUAAAUGUACGAGAUGUAUUUAAUCAGGAAACACCUUCCUUUAUUUCGGAAUAUUUGAUAGAGUUAUUCGGGACCGGUCUCGAAAGUAAUUUGUCAUUACGUUGGUCAAAUGAUGAUAGUGACUGUGAACGGAAUGUUAAUGUACUCAAGAACGUUUGGAUUUCGAUGUCGGGCGAUCGUGCCAUAUACACGUUUACGGAACUUCCGGACACCAAAGCAAAUAUGAUCUAUUUUUGUUUGAAAUACACCGAACGAUGGACCAAUCUUGGAAGUCAUUUUGCGAUUAAUUUACCUUCGCAAUUGCAAAAAUCUUUUCGUACACGCCGUGCCGACUCGCAUAUAUCUAACAUUGGUGAAAAUGAUUAUGUACCAUCAACACAAGAUCAUUCUAAGAUUUUCAUCGAAGGGCUGAGAAUAGAGAUAGCCGACAAGGACCCUAGCUACACCGAAGAAGGUAUUCCAGAGAUUUUGGCUGGUGGAAAAGCAGUAAUACGAUUAUUUGGAACUGGAAUUAAAGAAGGUACUUUAAUCACAUUUACGGAUAUGCCACAAGAGAGGGAUUCUAUUUGUGACAAAAUAAAGAGCAAUGAGUUUCAAGUGAAAAAUGUACAGAAAAAUACAGCAACCAUUGAUGUAGUUCUACCACUUGGAUCUCCAUUUUUUAUUUGCACUAAACCACCUGUAUAUGAAGAUGCUCCAAAUGAUUAUGUGCCUUUUCGACAUCAAGGCAUAGCAUCAUGGAUUACAAUUCGUACAUAUGAGAAAAUGUUACCUCUUUGGCUUACUAUUAUGAUCAUUCUCCUGUGUCUCAGCUUUUCUGCUUUAUUCUCUGGCCUUAACUUGGGUUUGAUGGCAAUGGAUAGAACUGAACUAAAAAUACUUUGCAACACUGGUACAGAAAAAGAAAAACAAUAUGCAAGGACAAUACAACCAGUGAGAAAUCAUGGAAACUACUUGCUCUGUUCAAUUUUAUUUUCAAAUGUCCUCGUUAAUUCAUUGUUUACUAUUCUGUUAGAUGAUUUAACGUCUGGACUAGUAGCAGUAAUUUGUUCGACGCUUGCUAUUGUUAUCUUUGGUGAAAUUUCGCCCCAAGCUAUUUGUAGCAGGCAUGGCCUAUGCGUUGGCGCUAAAACAAUUUAUAUUACAAAAUUGACUAUGUUAAUAACAUUUCCAUUAAGUUAUCCGAUUAGUAAAAUUUUGGAUGUUUUUCUGGGCGAAGAAAUUGGCAAUGUUUAUAACCGGGAAAGAUUGAAAGAACUUGUUAAGGUUACAACGGGAUAUAACGAUCUAGAAAAAGAUGAAGUUAACAUCAUAGCUGGAGCAUUAGAAUUACGGAAAAAGACUGUCGCAGAUGUCAUGACAAGAAUCGAAGAUGUCUACAUGCUAAAUUAUAAUGCAGUUUUAGAUUUUGAAACUGUAUCUGAAAUAAUGAAAUCAGGUUAUUCACGAAUACCAGUAUAUGAGGGAACUAGAACUAAUAUUGUUACGAUGUUGUAUAUUAAAGAUCUUGCAUUCGUUGAUCCCGAUGAUAACAUGCCACUUAAAACGCUCUGUCAGUUCUAUCAAAAUCCAUGCAACUUCGUUUUUGAAGAUGUUACAUUAGAUAUAAUGUUUAAACAAUUUAAAGAAGGACAUAAAGGUCACAUGGCAUUUGUUCAAACAGUUAAUAAUAAGGGUGAAGGAGAUCCUUUCUAUGAAGUGAUAGGUUUGGUUACAUUAGAAGAUGUUAUAGAGGAAUUAAUUCAAGCAGAAAUUAUAGAUGAGACAGAUGUAUUUACUGACAAUAGAAGUAAACGUAAAAGACAAGCUCGGCCAAAAAUGCAGGACUUUACCGUGUUCGCAGAGAAGAAAGAAAAUCAGCGUAUUCAUAUAUCACCUCAAUUAACUCUGGCUAUGUUCCAAUAUUUAUCCACAACUGUAGAUGCUUUUAAGCCUGAUACAAUAUCUGAAGUUAUUCUACGUCGUUUACUUAAACAAGAUAUCAUUUAUCACAUCAAAGUAAAGACCCGUGAAAAAGCACGAAAUGAUCCUACUACGAUUAUUUAUCAGCAAGGAAAAGCGGUUGACUAUUUUGUAUUGAUAUUAGAAGGUCGAGUAGAAGUUACAGUCGGCAAGGAAAAUUUGAUGUUCGAAAGUGGCCCGUUUACGUACUUCGGAUCUCAAGCGCUUACUACGAAUAUAGGAAUAGCUGAAUCUCCCACUACUGGAAAUCCUCAAAAUCUUGGAAGUAUUCAAUCGAUUAAUUUAGAUUCUAUGUUACGUUACACCUUUGUACCAGAUUAUACUGUUCGAGCGGUAACAGAAGUAUUUUAUGUCAAAGUUAGAAGAUCUUUAUAUCUUGCUGCUAAGCGUGCUACUCUUUUAGAAAGAAGCCAAAAAGAUCCUUUACCUACUCAUGAGCAAUUUGAUGAUGAAGUAGAGAAAUUGUUACAUUCCUUGGAUGAGGAUGAUCGUAGCGUACCAGAAUCACCAGUUUUACCAAAGGACAAAGAAAACGAAACGAGCAAGGAAAAAGAUGUUAAAAAUCAAUCACCAAUUCGUAGUUCAACGGCUCCGACAUCUCCUCUUCCGGUUAGCGCAAGUCCAGUCACAAAUUCUAAAUUCGUUUCAUCACACAGUGAUCAUAAUGGAAAAUUAAAAAAUUCACCUAUGAAAGCACAAAAUGCAGUCGCAACAGCAGGAGUAGGUAAACUGAGUUUAGAUUCUGACGUGCAUAUAAGUCAGUCAGAAGCAAUCCGACUUUUGUCCGGGAAGAAAUCAUUGGACGACGAGGAAAGAACAACUUUACUAGUUAAACAAGAUCGUUCUUAACGCUUACAGAAUGGCCGACUAUAUGCGAUAAUGUCGGCAGUUGGAAUAGUACUAAAUAUACCAAGUAACGAAGGGCAGAACAUACGCCUAUGACAUAUAAAAAUGUUUUGGCAUUAGAAGCUGUACCCAAUUCUUCGAAAACAACAGCAACAGAAAAGAAAUGAAAAGAAAUAAGAAAUAUCUAUUUUGCUCAGGGGAAGUUGCCAAAAACGUUCAUAUAUACACAUAUAUAUGUGUAUAAUAUAUAUAUAUAUAUAUAUAUAUAUAUAUACUUAUUCAUUGAACAUUAUUUAUCGAAUAGCUCGUGUCAUGAACUAUCAUACGUGCAUCACAUAUAAUAACCAGUUUAAUAGCAUUUAUCGCAUAGUGGACAAAUAUUUCGAAUUAGUCUCACACGUUUCAUCGUGUAUUCUUUUUCAUCAAGCAAUUAAGUACUUAUAAAAAAGUGUUUAGUAAAGGCUGAAUAUGUAUAUAAAUAGAAGUGACAACUCAUUGACCCAUUCAGCAAAUAAGUGCUCGUAGGUUACUUUAUAUUUUAAUUAGAAAGAAUAGUAAAGAAAGUUCUCUAAAUAUAAAUAGCGCGAUUGAAUUCUGUGUUACGAAUACCUCAUUUAUAUACUUUAUAUUAGCAUUUAGAUACAAUAUUGAAUACUUUUGAGCGAAGAACAUAGUCGUUUAUAUUUUUUGUAUUUUCUUUUUUUUUUCUUUUUUUCAUAGAAUCUAAUUAAGUUUAUCUACGAGCUCUAGGGGUUCAAUUUAAGAUUGUUUUUAUUUUAUAAAAGAUUUUUUAAUCUAUUUAUUUAUAUUAUUUAUCUAGUAAAC